RNAcentral lists this small RNA (168 nucleotides) under Dorea formicigenerans CAG:28. RNAcentral's name for it is "Clostridiales-1 RNA". It matches the Rfam family "Clostridiales-1 RNA". The record is from Rfam by way of RNAcentral. Lineage: Bacteria; Bacillati; Bacillota; Clostridia; Lachnospirales; Lachnospiraceae.
UGAUGCCAGGGUCAAAAGUCAAUAAGCAUGUUGUGCUUGCACAUAAAUGCUUAUAUGACUUAGUGACCCGCCCCAAUAUGAGAAUAAAAGUGGGGCGUAAGCCACACGAUAUUCGAAUAUUGGGUAGGAUUGUGGGAGUGCAAAGCACGGAGCAAUCCGUGGGCAUCA